RNAcentral lists this ribosomal RNA (440 nucleotides) under uncultured bacterium. Its description in RNAcentral is "partial 16S ribosomal RNA". It matches the Rfam family "Bacterial small subunit ribosomal RNA", at positions 338 to 795 of the family's 1533-position model. The record is from RNAcentral.
CCUACGUGUGGCUGCAGUGGGGAAUAUUGGACAAUGGGGGAAACCCUGAUCCAGCGACGCCGCGUGAGUGAAGAAGUAUUUCGGUACGUAAAGCUCUAUCAGCAGGAAAGAAAAUGACGGUACCUGACUAAGAAGCCCCGGCUAACUACGUGCCAGCAGCCGCGGUAAUACGUAGGGGGCAAGCGUUAUCCGGAUUUACUGGGGUGAAAGGGAGCGUAGACGACAGCGCAAGUCUGGAGUGAAAUGCCGGGGCCCAACCCCGGAACUGCUCUGGAAACUGUGAAGCUGGAUUGCUGGAGAGGCAAGCGGAAUUCCUAGUGUAGCGGUGAAAUGCGUAGAUAUUAGGAAGAACACCAGUGGCGAAGGCGGCUUGCUGGACAGUAACUGACGUUGAGGCUCGAAAGCGUGGGGAGCAAACAGGAUUAGAUACCCGUGUAGUC